GGACUCGCUGAGGCAAUUGAUGAAGGGCGUAUCGGUCCAAGAGAUGAUCCGAAAGCACGUUCUAAGAUCCUGUCAGAGGAGUUUGGUUGGGAUAAGGAUCUCGCGAAGAAGAUUUGGUGCUUUGGUCCUGAGACCACAGGUCCUAACAUGGUUGUUGUCGAUAUGUGUAAGGGAAUUCAGUACCUUAAUGAAAUCAAGGACUCUGUUGUUGCUGGUUUCCAGUGGGCAUCGAACGAAGGAGCGGUGGCGGAGGAAAACAUGCGUGGGAUAUGUUUCGAGGUAUGUGAUGUUGUUCUGCACGCUGAUGCUAUCCAUAGAGGUGGUGGUGGGC
This 331-nucleotide long non-coding RNA is filed under the name Musa acuminata (dwarf banana). Its description in RNAcentral is "long non-coding RNA (MACU_LNC003399)". Lineage: Eukaryota; Viridiplantae; Streptophyta; Magnoliopsida; Zingiberales; Musaceae. The record is from RNAcentral.